UACGCAGGCUGCAACCGUCAAUCGGAACUACUGGGCGUAAAGCGUGCGCAGGCGGUUAUAUAAGACAGAUGUGAAAUCCCCGGGCUCAACCUGGGAACUGCAUUUGUGACUGUAUAGCUAGAGUACGGCAGAGGGGGAUGGAAUUCCGCGUGUAGCAGUGAAAUGCGUAGAUAUGCGGAGGAACACCGAUGGCGAAGGCAAUCCCCUGGGCCUGUACUGACGCUCAUGCACGAAAGCAUGGGGGGCAGACAGGGUUAGAUAGCCCUGUAGUCC
This 273-nucleotide ribosomal RNA is filed under the name uncultured bacterium. RNAcentral's name for it is "partial 16S ribosomal RNA". It matches the Rfam family "Bacterial small subunit ribosomal RNA", at positions 524 to 796 of the family's 1533-position model. The record is from RNAcentral.